ACGGCUCAUUAUGACAGCUAUAAUUUACUUGAUCUUGACAACCUACUUGGAUAACUGUGGUAAUUCUAGAGCUAAUACAUGCACAAAAGCUCCGACCUAAAGGAAAGAGCGCAUUUAUUAGAACAAAACCAAACGGCUUCGGCCGUCCACUGUUGAACCAGAAUAACUAAGCUGACCGCAUGGUCUUGUACCGGCGGCAUGUCUUUCAAGUAUCUGCCUUAUCAACUUUCGAUGGUAGCGUAUCUGCCUACCAUGGUGAUGACGGGUAACGGAGGAUAAGGGUUCGACUCCGGAGAAGGGGCCUGAGAAAUGGCCACUACGUCUAAGGAUGGCAGCAGGCGCGCAAAUUACCCACUCUCAGAAUGAGGAGGUAGUGACGAGAAAUAACGAGACAGUUCUCUUAUGAGGCCUGUCAUCGGAAUGGGUACAAUCUAAACCCUUUAACGAGUAUCUAUGAGAGGGCAAGUCUGGUGCCAGCAGCCGCGGUAAUUCCAGCUCUCAAAAUGCAUAGAAUUAUUGCUGCGGUUAAAAAGCUCGUAGUUGGAUCUGUGCCGGCGUCCCGGUCCGCCCUCACGGGCGUGUACUGGAUUCGCUGGUUUUCCGCUCAACUCCUGCCAGCGUCCUUCACUGGACGUCUGGAAAGGGUGAGCAAGUUUACCUUGAACAAAUCAGAGUGCUCAAAACAGGCGUUUCGCUUGAAUGUUCGUGCAUGGAAUAAUAGAAGAGGAUUUCGGUUCAAUUUUAUUGGUUUUAUUGACUGAGAUAAUGGUUAACAGAGACAAACGGGGGCAUUCGUAUUGCUACGUGAGAGGUGAAAUUCUUGGACCGUAGCAAGACGGACUACAGCGAAAGCAUUUGCCAAGAAUGUCUUCAUUAAUCAAGAACGAAAGUCAGAGGUUCGAAGGCGAUCAGAUACCGCCCUAGUUCU
This 928-nucleotide ribosomal RNA is filed under the name Nacobbus aberrans. RNAcentral describes it as "SSU rRNA". It matches the Rfam family "Eukaryotic small subunit ribosomal RNA", at positions 93 to 1027 of the family's 1831-position model. Lineage: Eukaryota; Metazoa; Nematoda; Chromadorea; Rhabditida; Pratylenchidae. The record is from RNAcentral.